RNAcentral lists this ribosomal RNA (1366 nucleotides) under Hydrophylax malabaricus (Malabar fungoid frog). Its description in RNAcentral is "partial 16S rRNA". It matches the Rfam family "Bacterial large subunit ribosomal RNA", at positions 141 to 2557 of the family's 2925-position model. The record is from RNAcentral. Lineage: Eukaryota; Metazoa; Chordata; Amphibia; Anura; Ranidae.
GCCUAAAAUCUAGCCCAUAAAAUUCUUAUGUACCCCUAAACUAACAAAUCUAUAAUAAAACAUUUUUAUAUUUUAGUACAGGAGAUCGAAAAAUUACUAAGCGCAUUAGAUAAAGUACCGCAAGGGAACGAUGAAAUAAAAAUGAAAUAACUUUAAAGCCUAAAGUAGCAGAGAUGCCCCCUCGUACCUUUUGCAUCAUGGUCUAGCUAGUCAAAUCAAGCAAAAAGAACUUUAGUUUGUUACCCCGAAACUAGACGAGCUACUUCAAAACAGUCCAAUAGGACCAACCCAUCUCUGUUGCAAAAGAGUGGGAAGAUUUUCAAGUAGAGGUGAAAUGCCUACCGAGUCUAGAGAUAGCUGGUUGUUCAGGAAAAGAGUUUUAGCUCUACCUUAAGUUUUUCUAUUAAACCAAAAAACACACUAAACUUAAGAGCUAUUCAAAUAAGGCACAACUUAUUUGAAACAGGAUACAACCUAAAAUACUGGGUUAAUGAAGGUGACCUAAACAAAGUGGGCCUAAAAGCAGCCACCUUUAAAAAAGCGUUAUAGCUUAACUUCUACUCACCCCAAAUUUAUUUAAUUCCUUUUAACCCUUCAUUUAUACUGAACUAUUUUAUAUUUUUAUAAAAAAUAUUAUGCUAGAACUAGUAACAAGAAUAUGAUAUUCUCCUAAAUGCAAACUUAAACCAAAACGGACUACCCAUUGGUAUUUAACGUAAAUGCCCCACUAUAACAACAAUUAUCAAGAAAACCCUAUAGCCCUAAACGUUAACCUGACACCAGAGCAUUAAAGGAAAGAUUAAAAGAGAAAGAAGGAACUCGGCAAAUUACAGCCCCGCCUGUUUACCAAAAACAUCGCCUCUUGACAAAACAUAAGAGGUCCAGCCUGCCCAGUGACUAAGUUUAACGGCCGCGGUACCCUAACCGUGCAAAGGUAGCAUAAUCACUUGUUCUCUAAAUAAGGACUAGUAUCAACGGCAUCACGAGGGCUGUACUGUCUCCUUUCUCCAAUCAGUGAAACUGAUCUCCCCGUGAAGAAGCGGGGAUAUAACUAUAAGACGAGAAGACCCCAUGAAGCUUUAAGCAAUAUAUUCACCUUGCACCAUUAUAUCACCAUAGUAUAAAGACCUGAAUAUUAGCUUUGGGUUGGGGGGACCGCGGAGUAUAACUUAACCUCCACAACAAACGGGCCACGCCCUUAUCUAAGAACCACAAUUCUAAGAAUCAUAAAACUGAUGUUUAUGACCCGAUAAUUCGAUCAAUGAACCAAGUUACUCUGGGGAUAACAGCGCAAUCUACUUCAAGAGCCCCUAUCGACAAGUAGGUUUACGACCUCGAUGUUGGAUCAGGGUAUCCUAGUGGUGCA